UACGUAGGGGGCAAGCGUUGUCCGGAAUCAUUGGGCGUAAAGAGCGCGUAGGCGGCCCAGUAAGUCCGCUCUGAAAGUCAGGGGCUCAACCCCUGGAUGCGGGUGGAUACUGCUGGGCUAGAGUCCGGAAGAGGCGAGUGGAAUUCCUGGUGUAGCGGUGAAAUGCGUAGAUAUCGGAAGGAACAUCAGUGGCGAAAGCGACUUCCUGGACCAAUACUGACGCUCAUGUGCGAAAGCGUGGGGAGCAAACAGG
RNAcentral lists this ribosomal RNA (253 nucleotides) under uncultured bacterium. Its description in RNAcentral is "partial 16S ribosomal RNA". It matches the Rfam family "Bacterial small subunit ribosomal RNA", at positions 524 to 776 of the family's 1533-position model. The record is from RNAcentral.